Molecule: long non-coding RNA, 655 nt
Organism: Pleuronectes platessa (European plaice)
Lineage: Eukaryota; Metazoa; Chordata; Actinopteri; Pleuronectiformes; Pleuronectidae
Exons: 2
Source: RefSeq, a predicted model, not a curated record
CAUACACACACUUCCUCUGAACCUUCAUACUCACUUCAAUACGCACACUCACUUUCACUUUGCCAGUGUGAGUCUUGUACACAUGUGGCUUGUGGCCGUGCUGGAGCUGGCCACAUCUCAGCCGAUACCCAGUUCAGCACGCUGGCUUUCUUCCAGCCAACUAUAAUGGGGGAAUAUUUUUCCAGCCUCCAAGUUUUCCCGAAGCAGUGCACAGUGCAUUUUAAUAAAGCCUGGUGCUCUGCAUUGUGCGCAUUGGCUGAACUGUGCCGGGCUGUGCUGAGCUAUGCAGCCACAUAUGGGAGUGAUUACAGUCCAGUGUUUAUCAGACCUCACUGAGGGACUGACUGUACGACUGAGCAGAGCAGAACCAUGAGCCUUGCGCACACCGCCUCAAUUUCCGAACUACAACCUUCUAUGGAAGUCAGACCAGUGAGACGACACUGCAUCAACACGUCGCGAGAGAUCACAGGUCCUGGACGCGGCAUCUUCUUCAGGCUCGAGUGAAUGUGGCUAAAUGAUCAAUAUAAAGUUGUCCGGCAGCUAUUUGUGAUUCGAUUAGCGAGUUAGAUACUGUUGAAGCAAAGGAAUGACAAUUUGACAAUUUAUCAAAGUCUGUGUGUGCAAAAUAAAAAAAAUAAAUAAAAAGUCAUUCAAA